AUGCUCCAGGCCGCGAACUACGCGUCCUUCUCCUUGGACUACACGCUGGAGCUGAAAGAGAAGCUGGCGGUGAGGGACGCCGAGGUUGCCGCUCUGCGGGAGCAGCUGGAGAGUGCGAAGGGUGAUCUGACCGCGGGGAAGCGGGCGGCGGAGGCUGUGGUGGAGAGCGCCAGGACGACGGCGGUGCAGGAGUUCCUGGCUUCCGAGGAGCACAAGCGGCGCCUCGCGGAGCACGCGCUGGCGGGGUACGAGCGCGGCGCCGAGGAGAUGAAGCGCGCUGUUCUCCGGUUACACCCUCACCUCGACGCCGCCCGGCUGGUCGUGCCGCUGGCAUAG
RNAcentral lists this ribosomal RNA (336 nucleotides) under Triticum aestivum (bread wheat). Its description in RNAcentral is "partial small subunit ribosomal RNA". Lineage: Eukaryota; Viridiplantae; Streptophyta; Magnoliopsida; Poales; Poaceae. The record is from RNAcentral.